UGUGUGCAUGCCUGUGUGCAGACAGCUGUAGUACGGAGCCUUUGGGUCAGAGCUCUGACUCCCCACCUGGUCUGGAGGCAGCCCUGGUCAGCCCCAAGAUUCCCGAGAGGAUGGGCCUGCUUCUUUUUCUCUAAGAUGAGGACAAGGAGCUGGAAGCAGGCUGCGGACCAUCAGGAUCUGUCAGCAGCCCCUAGACAGCACUGCCCACCAGACCCAUCUUCCUGGGCACACAGCUGGACUACGUUCCCCAGCCUUUCUUGCACUGAGAUGUGGCCAGUUCAGGCCAGUGGAAUCCGAGUGGAAGGGAGUGAGCCACUUUCAGUCCUGGGCCCUGCAAGCUUCCCGCACAUGCUCUCCCUGCACCUCGGCUGGCUGAUGCCUGAGAUCACAGAGACUCUGGGAGGCCCGUGCUGAAGGUGGUAGAACCUCAAGACAGAGGAGCCAGGAUCCCUAAAUCAUUCUGGACACAAAGCUCUAGCUACCUACUUAUUUUGAGUGUUUUUUUUAAAUAGGAGGAAGGAAUAAGCUUCUAUCAUGUUUGAGCCUUGCUGUGUGUGAAAAAAAUAAAUGAGGAAUUUGGUCCCCUCUCCUCUACCUCCCCAUGUGGGACAACCCAGAAAAGCAGGGAAGAGGGGUCUGGAACUCAGAAAAGAGGGUUGGAAGGGGAACAGCUCUGGUGAAGGGAGAGGAACAGGAUGUUACCCAUGAAGCUGAAGUUAGAUAUGUAGCGUUUGACUUCCAAUUUGAAGCUGUUCCUGAACCUGUCGUCUGCCUUCCCCAAACCACCAUGACAAGUGUGCAAGACUCCAAGGCCUUGUGUGGUCAGAGGCUUGGGAAAAUGUAAACAAAAGCGCCACACGUGGGUGAGGCCAGGGGGAUCUGGGCCUGGGGAGGGGGCCUGUGCAGACAGUGCUUACCACAGUGACAAGGAAAGGGUUAAGGGGGUCUGUGAGCAGGAUUGGCUCUCCUCACAGUGAGGGUAGUAAAAUCAGCAUGUCGCC
Molecule: long non-coding RNA, 1001 nt
Filed under: Homo sapiens (human)
Lineage: Eukaryota; Metazoa; Chordata; Mammalia; Primates; Hominidae
Description: HSALNT0172641
Source: RNAcentral